This 494-nucleotide ribosomal RNA is filed under the name uncultured bacterium. RNAcentral describes it as "partial 16S ribosomal RNA". It matches the Rfam family "Bacterial small subunit ribosomal RNA", at positions 28 to 507 of the family's 1533-position model. The record is from RNAcentral.
GACGAACGCUGGCGGCGUGCUUAACACAUGCAAGUCGAACGGUGAAGCGCCUUCCUUUUUGGUGGGUGUGGAUGAGUGGCGAACGGGUGAGUAACACGUGAGUAACCUGCCCCCUUCUUCUGGAUAACCGCAUGAAAGUGUGGCUAAUACGGGAUAUUCUGGGUCUGUCGCAUGAUGGGUCUGGGAAAGAUAUUGUUUCGGUGGGGGAUGGGCUCGCGGCCUAUCAGCUUGUUGGUGGGGUGAUGGCCUACCAAGGCGGUGACGGGUAGCCGGCCUGAGAGGGUGGACGGUCACACGGGGACUGAGACACGGCCCAGACUCCUACGGGAGGCAGCAGUGGGGAAUAUUGCACAAUGGGCGCAAGCCUGAUGCAGCGACGCCGCGGGAGGGAUGGAGGCCUUCGGGUUGUGAACCUCUUUCGCCAGUGAAGCAGGCCUGCCUCGUUUGUGGGUGGGUUGACGGUAGCUGGAUAAGAAGCGCCGGCUAACUACGUG